GUAGGUGGCAAGCGUUGUCCGGAAUUAUUGGGCGUAAAGCGCGCGCAGGCGGUUCUUUAAGUCUGAUGUGAAAGCCCACGGCUCAACCGUGGAGGGUCAUUGGAAACUGGAGAACUUGAGUACAGAAGAGGAAAGCGGAAUUCCACGUGUAGCGGUGAAAUGCGUAGAGAUGUGGAGGAACACCAGUGGCGAAGGCGGCUUUCUGGUCUGUAACUGACGCUGAGGCGCGAAAGCGUGGGGAGCAAACAGGAUUAGAUACCCUGGUAGUCCACGCCGUAAACGAUGAGUGCUAAGUGUUAGGGGGUUUCCGCCCCCCUUAGUGCUGCAGCUAACGCAUUAAGCACCCCCGCCUGGGGAGUACGGCCGCAAGGCUG
Molecule: ribosomal RNA, 374 nt
Filed under: uncultured organism
Description: partial 16S ribosomal RNA
Rfam family: Bacterial small subunit ribosomal RNA
Source: RNAcentral